GCCAUGGAAUCGUGAACGCUCGUUACGCCACUAGCCUAAACAUUUUUUAAAAAAUCAUCUGCCACGUGUCUCAGCAUCUCCGAAUCAGCCAAAUUUAAUACGGGGUCCCACUUUUCCAUCGGCACCGCCUCUCUCUUCCUACAAUCACAACAAGAAGAAGCAGCCUAUCUCUCUCACCACGCUAAGCUUCAGUUCGUCAGCGUCGCAGUCCGCACCUCAAGCUCUCUCUGCUGCUUUAAUCCUCUCAGAACUUCGAUUAGUGACAGAGGAGUACUGAGAAUGGAAUAGAAGAAGAAUAUCAUGAGAGGAUUCGGUGCGGUUUGUUACGCUGCACUUCUCACUGCUCUCCGGUGGAUCUCAACAAUUUCUUCUGCGUAUGCCUCUCUCUUUUGAAGCAUUUCACGCUCGUGUGCAUAUGAUGGUGUGAUUAGAUACGUAUGUGUCACUUUGAACUGCGAUUGCUAUAACAUUUUUUUUUUAUUUUCACUGAAUGGUCUUAUGUUGUUAUGUUACUGGCGAAACCAUCUGUUCCCUGUACAAUCCAUGGAGCUUAAUGUGAUGGACAUAUCACAUAUAAAUGAAUUUCUUGUUGUAGUCCCAUUAUUUGCUCUACAAGCACUGGCUAGUGUCAUAUCCUGGAUUAGGUAACAAUUUCAGUGUUCUGUUCCAUGUGUUUUGUCAUUCUGUUUCAUCGAUUUGGAGAAAGAAGAAAAAGAAAUGUUGAUUUGCCUCAUGCCUGACUUGCUUUCAAAAAGCAUCUACAAGCGCUCCUUGUGAAACCCUAGGUUAUAUUAGGUGUGAUUUGCAGGGGGUGAAUAUGGUGUUUGGAGUGCAUUCUUGGCCCUUCUUGUCCGGCUCCUCUUCUUCAUUCCUGGUGAACUUGAGUUACCAUUUACAGUACUACUUCUGGUGAUUGUCGCACCUUAUCCGUUAUGAACUAAGGGGUACCCAAGAAGGUGCUAUUAUUUUAUUGAUGAUAACAACAUAUUUAGCUUACCAGCACUUUUCUUGGGCAGGCAAUACAAGGAUGUAUAAGAUUUCUGUUGCCUUUUCUUACAUAUUUAUUUGAAAUAUGUUGUUCAUAUAUUUACAUAUAUUGUUCCUUACUCCAUACAAAUCCUAGCUUCUACUUACUUUCCUAUGCUCUCAGAUAGGUUAAAACUUGCAGUUAAUAUAGUAUUCGAGA
Long non-coding RNA from Tripterygium wilfordii, 1186 nucleotides. RefSeq lists it as uncharacterized. The record is from RefSeq and is a predicted model, not a curated record. Lineage: Eukaryota; Viridiplantae; Streptophyta; Magnoliopsida; Celastrales; Celastraceae. The transcript has 4 exons.